Molecule: ribosomal RNA, 412 nt
Filed under: actinobacterium SCGC AAA028-K15
Lineage: Bacteria; Bacillati; Actinomycetota; Actinomycetes
Description: bacterial SSU rRNA
Rfam family: Bacterial small subunit ribosomal RNA
Source: RNAcentral
CAGUGGGGAAUCUUGUGCAAUGGGCGCAAGCCUGACACAGCAACGCCGCGUGCGGGAAGAAGGCCUUCGGGUCGUAAACCGCUUUCAGCAGGAACGAAAAUGACGGUACCUGCAGAAGAAGAUGCGGCCAACUACGUGCCAGCAGCCGCGGUGACACGUAGGCAUCAAGCGUUGUCCGGAUUUAUUGGGCGUAAAGAGCUCGUAGGCGGUUCAGCAAGUCGGGUGUGAAAACUCUGGGCUUAACCCAGAGCCUGCAUCCGAAACUGCUGUGACUAGAGUUCGGUAGGGGAGAGGGGAAUUCCUAGUGUAGCGGUGAAAUGCGCAGAUAUUAGGAGGAACACCGAUGGCGAAGGCACCUCUCUGGGCCGAUACUGACGCUGAGGAGCGAAAGCGUGGGUAGCAAACAGGAUUA